CCAGUUCGGAUUGCAGGCUGNAACCCGCCUGUAUGAAGUUGGAAUCGCUAGUAAUCGCGGAUCAGCAUGCCGCGGUGAAUACGUUCCCGGGCCUUGUACACACCGCCCGUCACACCAUGAGAGUCGGGAACACCCGAAGUCCGUAGCCUAACCGCAAGGAGGGCGCGGCCGAAGGUGGGUUCGAUAAUUGGGGUGAAGUCGUAACAAGGUACC
This 213-nucleotide ribosomal RNA is filed under the name uncultured bacterium. RNAcentral's name for it is "partial 16S ribosomal RNA". It matches the Rfam family "Bacterial small subunit ribosomal RNA", at positions 1288 to 1500 of the family's 1533-position model. The record is from RNAcentral.